GGGAAAUUCCCUUAUUCCAGUGCCGUUUCCCACUGCUUCCUGCUGCUAUCCUGGAUUGUUAGAUAUCCCGUAGACUGUCCCCGGGACAGGUGAGGCUGCUGAUCCCUUAUUCUCAAAUCUGAAAGUUGACAGCUAUGGUAUUCUUGCAUCAGAAGCCCCAGAAGUAUACUUUGAAGGAAGACCCUCAAAUGCUUGAAACAUUAAGAACUGUUUGCAAAAAGCAACGCUACGUGUGCCUAAAGUCUCAUUGUGCUCUGUGGGGCUUCUCCUUGUGAAGUGUAUUCAAGCCACAGGCUGCAAUCAUCUUUCUACUUACCUGGGAGUAAGCUCCACUGAACUCAAUGGGAGUUACUUUUGAUUAGGUGUGUUACACAGCAGUAGCUUAAAACAAAUCUUCAAGCACGCUGUCAGUUCUAUUUAGGCAUGUGCAGUGUGCCGUUCAUUCAUUAGAUUCAGGCUCUGGACCUGGUUUCCUGUUAGUAUGGACACAAAUACAGUGGUACCUCUGGUUAAGAACUUAAUUCAUUCUGGAGGUCCAUUCUUAACCUGAAACUGUUCUUAACCUGAAGCACCACUUUAGCUAAUGGGCCUCCCACUGCCGCCGCACGAUUUCUAUUCUCAUCCUGAAGCAAAGUUCUUAACCCGAGGUACUAUUUCCGGGUUAGCAGAGUCUGUAACCUGAAGCAUCUGUAACCCGACGUACCACUGUAAUAAGCAGAAUCCUACAGGUGCCGUCACAAAAUCAGGUUUAUUUAUUUAGGCAUUAGAAUUGAUGGUUUUUAAUUUCACGUAACACAUAUCUAACUUUUAAAAACAACACAAUGCCUUGAUCUUUAACAUUUGUUCAGCACAUCUGCUUUUGACACACCUGCAUAAAAUAAUGGCAGUGCUUAAGAGUCCACAAAUCGUUCCACCCCAUAUUACGACUGCUAUUCUAAGAGGAGUAGGAAGUCUUAGAAAGUGGAGAAUGGUUUAAUGCACUUUUAUUGACAUAGUUUAUUCAACUUGUAUAGUUUUCCCAUAAGGGUGGGUCCCUCCUGGUUGCUAGGAGAAAUGUACGGAAAGCAACACAGAUGCCGGCUAACUGUGUUCCUAUGGUCCCCAGCAUCAGGUGUCAGCUGACCUUAAGUAUCCUUUACAGCUUCCAGCAACCUCCAGUCUGCUACCUCUGGUACGAAGUGGGGUCCUUUGUUAUCAAUGGCACAACACGCACAGCUGCUUCAGUGAUUGUUCAAAGAGGGACAGAUGGCAGCUCUCAAUACAAAAACGGGAUUUAAAAGAGAAAUGUGUGGGUGGGGUGGGGGGGACAGCAGUGGGAGUGACAGCACUACUUAGCUUGGAAUUUAUUUUGCUAGAUUUACGGAACUAGCAAUAGUGUUAAGAACAACAACAGCCAACAUCGGUGCGGCAGCUUUCCAAAGUCGGUUGUGUGAAGUUACUUGCUCUAUCUUGCAAUAUUAAGCAAGUGCUUUACUCUUCUGCUGAAAUCCACAAGUAUUUAACUUGCUUAGAUCACGCUGGCAUUAAUUCCUACUUGGUGGACUAUCAGGCUGAACAGCACUGUGUGUUCAAGGAUAGCAUCACUGAAAACAGGGUCUAUGGGUUCUGAACACAGGCAAGCAAAACGUUACUGGAAGGUUCCUUUUAUUAACCACCUCUUUAUUAUACCUUAGGGAUAAAUUUCUAUUCGUUCAGAAGGUGGGUGUAAUCCGAGGAAAUAGUUUACCCAAAAAAUCAUCCCUUUUAGUUCUUCCUACCCCCAAAUCAAGUUUAAAGAUCUGCUUGUCUGCAAGUGAGCAGACAAAUCUUUAUCCAAGGGCACCUCUCCUAUAUCUGCAGUUUUCAGGCUAAUUGCCCUCAAAACUCUAGGAAAGACUAGGUGAUUUCUUUCUUUUUUCAACUCACUCUAAUACUGUAAUCACGGGACACGGGUGGUGCUGUGGGUUAAACCACAGAGCCUAGGAUUUGCCGAUCAGAAGGUUGGCUGUUCGAAUUCCUGCGACGGGGUGAGCUCCCGUUGCUCGGUCCCUGCUCCUGCCAACCUAGCAGUUCAAAAGCAUGUCAAAGUGCAAGUAGAUAAAUAGGUACCGCUCCAGCGGGAAAGUAAACGGCAUUUCCAUGCACUGCUCUGGUUCGCCAGAAGCGGCUUAGUCAUGCUGGCCACAUGACCCGGAAGCUGUACGCCGGCUCCCUCGGCCAAUAAAGCGAGAUGAGCGCCGCAACCCCUGAGUCGGCCACGACUGGACCUAAUGGUCAGGGGUCCCUUUACCUUUAAUAAUGUAAUAGUUGCCCUUGCAGGAAAAUCACUGCAGCUAUCCUUUUAAAAAUUGGCAGGAUUUAGGCACUGAGAAGAGGAGGCCUUGUCUGCCAAUUUAAUCCAGUUCUGCUGGGGGGAAAAAAGUUAUAGAUGUCCUUAAAAUUAAACACAAAAGUCCUUGGACUAAUUUGCCUGUAGUUCAGCAUAUAUUAUCUAUUCUGGAGGGACCAGUAUUCCUGCAUAUUACAUCCACAACCAAAAACAUUCAGCCCUUUUUAGAUUUUCCAUCAACUACAGUGAGCCCUAACAGAAUUUGGGAUAUGACUUGGAGGUGAUUUAACAGAAGUAAUCAUUGAAGGAAACCAGGUCUCUUUCUUCUUUCCUUUCUUUUGGGUAUCUCAGUAUCCUGGAAAAGAGAUUUCAGUCGUGAAUUGGGGAGAGUGGGAGGAAAGGAAGCAGACUCAAGACACUGUGAGCUGAACUGGGCAGUCUAUGAAGUGUCUCAUACUGAGGCAGGCUGGUUUCAGAAGCUCCAAAAAUGUAGGUAAAAAAAACUGUGAGCACAGUAAAUAAUGCUGUGUGGAAACUGAGGUGGAAGCAAAACAUAAUAGCACAACUACAGAUGUCAUGAAAGAUAUUGAGAGGUAAACUUCAGAGAAAACAGUUCAUGGAGACGUUUUGGUGCUUAAAAUUUCCUGCUGCCACUGUCUCCUUUCUCUCUUAAGUUAGGAAUGACCCAGUAAAGACCUGCUCCCUCCCUCUUGCUGAGUCAGGAACUGGAAUCUCCCAACCACUCAUUCCCCAACCCUCAGAAGUUGCAUCAUCACAAUCAAUGUGAAAUCAGUUCUCCGGAAAUGAAAAGUCGGUCAAGGGAAAUGAGUCUAUAAGCAGCUGGAUGUUGUUUGCAAGGAACUGAACUGCUUAAUCUUCCACAUCUGAUGCUUAGAUUCCGAUUAAGCCAAAAUGGGAAAGAAACUUAUAGUUUAGUCAGGAGGCAUCAUAUAAGGCUUUUUACGGCAGGAUGGUCUGCUUUGGAAAUACAUGCAGUUUUGCUUGGCCGGCUUCCCAUUCUUUCAUUCUGAUUCUAUAGAUACGAGCUGUUUCAAUAUCACACAGGAGCGACUUGCAUGGGUGUAGUAAACAGUCGUAUCAUAUGCAAGGCAAAUUCACUAUGCUAAACUGUCAGUCACUUGUGAUUCCUGAUACUAAACAUAUCAAGUGUGUCACGCAGCAUUGGCACGUUACUAUUUAUUUAUGCUGCCCCUACAGCGUACACAGCGCCAUCAAUAACAAAGAGUUUAGUGGUUCUUUCAAGACAAAGAAAUUUAGGCUUCCUGCUCUUAAGAAGUUUAAUGGUGGAAACAGGAAAGCGAAAGCCAAGAACAGAGAGAGAAGAAAGUGGACAAAUGUCAUUAUAGUUGGGAAUAAAGACGACAGGCUGGUGGUGCCAGAGGCGCCAAGUUGAAUGUAUGACAUCACAUGUGUGAUGUCACAUGUGUGUGACAUCACACAUGUGAUGUCAUACAUGUCAAGAGGAGGCCAUGAGGCUUGGGGAGCCUCACCACCACUGCGGGAAGGCCCAGUGGGGCAUAACCCCUCAAGAUGGGGGUGAGGGUACAGCCCUGUCCCUGCAUACUUUGGGGUGGGGGCUGAACUGUCCUCAGUCCCAUAGAAUUGGCACCUAUGGGUGGCGCUCUGUAUAUGUUCUGGGAUGGAGUUCCUUUAACAGGAGGCGGCAAAGCAGAAUGGGCAAUAGUUGUUUGAGGAAUUCAAGAGAUCUUCCGUUGGAUGAGGACAGCAGCAAUUGCAGAGUAUAAUGGGAAGCAGCUUAAAAACAAAAGCUGAAAGAAGAGAUUGACGCAAGGCCACAGAUAGCUUUAGAAGGGACAUGGAGUUUGUGCUAGAUAUGGAAGGGUCUGAACAAGAAGCCCAUACAACAAGAGCUGUGUCUUAUUGGGGCUGAAAAGACUCUAGAACAGGGAUCACCAAUGUGGUGCUGACCGUUUGUCAUGAUGCCUGAGACUAAUGGGGGUUGGGGUCCAAUAUCUGGAGAGCCCCAUAUUGACUACCCUUUCUUUAGGAAGGGUAAACACCAGGUUUUCUCUUUUAUCCAAUCUAGAUGUUACAAGAGUCAGCAUUUUCCUUCCCCCCACAUAUCAUUUAAUAUAACUUGCUAUGUUAAUUCUGCCAGCCGCAUUCCAGCCUAGAUAAUGCCUGGACCUUUGUGUGUGCGCGCACUUGUGAUCAGAAGCGUACCACAUCGUGGGCAGAAUUUGCAUGGUGACAUUUAUAAGCAACAUGGUGGAAUAGGAAACACACCGCAGGGAUCUGGACCAGCUCUCCAAUAAUGUAAAGUGCUCUGACCAUUUGAAAUAGCACAGUAAUAUGCUAUUUUCAUUAUCGUUGCCCAGUUCUGUGUUGUGCUACAGGUCAUUACAAUGCAGCUACACAGCACUGGAGACUGGUGGCAGUGUUGGCGCAUCAACCUCUUUGCUGGUACUGGUAUGAUGUCCUGGGUUGCAGAACCUGGCUACAGGCUGCAGCAAUGUCCCCGUGCAAAAGCAGCUGUACUCUCUUUUAAAUACUUUUAUGUUAGUCCAGUGGUUCACAGCAUCAGGCAUUUUCAUGCUGAAUAAAUUGUUUUCAGAUGUGUCAUCUGCACAGUAGCGCACAGAGCUUUCAGUGGUCACAUUUGCACCAGACACUGGCUUAAGUUCUGCUGAGCUUCAAAUCUCAUACAUCCUCCGCCUUAUUCAGAAUAUAUUUGUGUUGCUUGUUUUAAAGAAGUAGGUUUUGGAACCGGAUGAAAUGCUUUGUCUGACAUCGACGCAUGAUUAAGAGCAGAGUUGUAUCGUGUGAGGUCCUGUGCAAAUUACAGCCAUUUGUGGUUUCAUUUUUGUUUCCCAAAGACUUUAGAAAGACAGACCUAAUCUAAACAUUACUAGAAAUGGGAAUCAUCACAGCCAUGCCCAGACUGCAGCCUGUGUCAGAUAUGGGUUCCAGCUGGAAUGCCGUAAACUCCCAGCUGUUACUGUUAGGGACAAAGCAUAUCACCCUUGGAGAGCAAAAGAGACAUACUUGCUACAGAAGACAUUAACAGAGGACUUAAACAGCAUGGAGGUGACACAGGCACCAUUCUGAACUGUGUUUAUACAAAUGAACCUACAUUCCAGUAAGUGGGACACUAAAAGGAGUUGCCUUUCAAUAAUACCCUUUCUCCAAAUAGACAGUAUUUAGAAAAUAGUGUAUUUCCACCCUACAAAUUCACCUAUGCACCUUUUAAGUAAAAUAAUUAAAAUGCAACGAUGAACUUUUGCAAUUACAAUGAUAAAUGUGUACCUUGAGCCACUGCAUUAAGGAGGACUUGAGUUAUGUAUCGUGUGCAGGGUUAAUUCUUGUGAGAUUUAGAGAUGUAAUUUAUCAAACUCUUAAAUCCAUGAUUUAUAUUAAGAGGCUGGAUGCUGACCUGUUAUGGCAGCUAAAUGGUGUAACUCAACACAAGGGAAUUGCUAUCUUGUUUAUAAUGAGUGAUAUUUAGCCACAUUCCACUCAUAGCAAGCAGAGCAACUGAAAUUAAUGGAUCUUAGUCCUGUUCAUUAAUUUCAAUGUGUCUGAGUAAAAUGUAGUUGAAUGCCCCUCCCCAUUUCCAUACUGUGUUUUAAUUUAAUUUAUAUAACAUUUUUGCACAUACCUCUGAGAUCAGAUUUUUUAAAAGAAAUGUAAGAAUUGAAAUGGCAAAAAGUGCCAAGUCAGCAGCUUUGCUUUAUUUGAAAUGAGGAAAGAUCACACUGACUACUUUCCUGAAAUCAACAGUUGUUAUGGUGUUCCCCCACCCCAUUGGGCUAAUGAAAUGGGCCUUAUGCAAAGCUCAAAAGAUCUGAGCUGCUUUACACCCAAGAGGGCAGUAAACGUUGCCUUUCAAGGGGAAAAAAGGGUUCCAGAUGGAAGGGUACAUCUUCUUAGAGGCCAGGUUUUGCCGAGUCAGACGAGCGCUUAAAAGAAAAUCGGCUCAAAAGAGCCUUAGAGAUCAAACAGGGACAAACAAAGUGAUCAGCUCACUCAUUUAAUACAAAACAAUGCACUGGAAAUUUAUGUUCCAGGUUCAAAGAAGUGCUGAAAUUUCCAUAGUCAGCGAAGCAGAAAAGUGUAAAUCAAGAGUCCUUUCGGGACCUGGAUAAUAUCAAAGACAGCCCAACUUUUUUCAAUCCUAUUUGUUAUUAACUGGAGCUUGUUUGGCUGCAACUCUAUUAGUUAGCUUGGAAUUUGAACAUAGCGAGGUCUACUUUACUCCUUCUCCAGUCCUGUAUUAUCUCUCAGCUCAAUUUCCCCAUAUGCAUAAUGGGUCUGCUAAUGAACAGGCAUGAGCAAAGGCCGUACAGCACUUUCACAUCAAAAGUUCAGAUUUUGAAAUAGAUAAACCAAGCACCCUGACACUGAAGGGAGCAGGGAGCAUCGGUAUGUACUGAGUUCUGUGCGUACACAGGAAUCGCUCGAUUUCCCAAACAGUGCAGAAAAUGUCAUCACCCUUGCACUUUGGUUUAUGAAGGCAUAUUAGUUGGAUAGUGAGUGGUGAUUAAAGGGAAAGAGGUGGCUGGAAUCAGUCUGAUCUGUUUCCUAAGGAGGCACAGUACAGUCGUACCUUGGAUCCUGAACGCCUUGCAAGUUGAAUGUUUUGACUCCUGAACGCCACAAACCCGGAAGUGAGUGUUCCGGUUUGCGAACGUUCUUUGGAACCCGAAUGUCUAACGGAGCUUCUGCAGCUUCCGAUUGGCUGCAGGAGCUUCCUGCAGCCAAUCAAAAGCCACACUUUGAUUUCCGAAUGUUUUGGAAGUCGAACAGACUUCUGGAACGGAUUCCGUUCGACUUCCAAGGUAUGACUGCAAUUGGCAUUUCAUGCCUGGUAUGUGGUCUUUUUCUACAAAGGGGCACUAUUAUGCGGUCCUGGAUUCUGGAUCUGUACCCUACACCCCCAGAGUGGUGAACAACAUAUUAAAGCCAAUAUACAAUAGAGAACCAUAAAAUGCAAUGUAAGGAGGGCCCAAUUCAGAGAACAAUCUGUACUCGGAAGCAGCUUAGAAACUGAGCAUUAAGGUACGCCGAUUUCUCUUCACCUCAAUACACGAUUCCAACCUGAAAUGGAAGGUAGUAGUUACAUCUAAUUUUCCAUAUGCAUCUCCACGAGAAGUGCGGGUGACUCUUCUGAAAGCCACUGUGAUAAAAGGAUGAAUAAAAAUAAUUUUUAAGAACCUAAUAAAGCAAGACGAUUUAUUUUCACCACUUAAAAGCAAGACUUACAAACACCGAAGUGAGGAAAGUACUGAAUCAACACAGGCGUUGCUUAGAAAUAUACCACCAGCAGCAUUAAAGUAGGGUAUAACAUUUCCCAACCAAUUUAUUUUCUCAUGGUUUUCACAACAUGCAAAUGUGAUGUGUGUAUAAUCCUGUGUAAGGCUGAACAGACUGUGGCUCCUGGCUUAUGGGAAUGGUAUUUAAAUUCAAAACAUCCCCAUCAUACACAAACCUACAGUUGGUCCAACCACCUGGUUUUGGACAGUCUCUGAGACAGUGAAAUCUUGACAACAAUAGCAACUCAUUUUCCUUUCUUGUUUUCCUCCAGCUGAUUUGCAGAGUAGAAUCUUAUUUGCCAGCAUAUUUUAGGUGGCUUUACUUCUAUCCAUCAUUUCUUUAAAACUUUUACUAUUACUCUCUUCACCUCCAAGCAAUUUUUAAAAAUCCAAAAUGAUUUAAUGAGGGCCCACUCCCUGCAAUUGCUGUUACAAGAGGGAUACCCAAUGUGAUAAAUGAUAGAUGCGGAUGGACAAAAUUUCCAUCAUCCCUGAAUACUGGGGCAGGCUGACUGGGGCUGAAAGGAGAUGGAGUCCAACAAUGGCUACCCUUGUGCUAGUACAACCGGAGGCCUGCCGCUGCUAAAUAACUUAGUAUUAUUAUUUAUAUAUAUCAUAUACAUCCCACCCACCCCGCAACACAGGUGUAAAUGAUUCUCCCCCUCCUCAUUUAAUCCCCACAACAACCCUGUGAGGUUGGUUAGGCUGAGAGGCAGUGACUGGCCCAGGGUCACCCAGUGAGCUUAGUAGCCAAAUGGGAAUCUGAACCCUGGUCUCCCAAGUUCUAGUCUGAUGCUCUAACCACUACACCACCACUAGAACAUGCCCUUAAAAACCAUGAAGUGAAUUCCCAUCCAAGCUUCUAAGCCAUACCUAAGCAUAGCAAGACCUCCAUCCACUGCCCACAGAUCAUAGAGUUGGAAGGAACCAGGAGGGUCAUCUUGUCAAAUCUCCUGCCAUGUAGGAAUCUUUCACCCAACGUGAGGCUCGAACCCACAACCCACAAUCAAGAGUCUUGUGCUCUACUGACUGAGAUAAUGUGAGUGAAGGGCCAAUGGAAGUCUUCGAUAGUGGUGUGACUGCUAGUAAAACAAAAAGUCUUGUCGCUGGAUACCUGAAUGACUCUAGCCCUUUCCAUUCAGUGCAUUCUAACAGGGCCGGCCCAUCCAUGAGGCAGGAUGAGCCAGCUACCUUGGGCGGCAGAAGCCCAAGAGGCGGCGCCCGGCGGACUCCGACGCCAGCAAGAUCUCGAUGGAAGACAGCGCUGCUGCCACUGCUUCAUGACCUCCGCUGCACAACCCAGGUAAGGGAGGCUUCAGUGAGGACGGCAUGUUCCUGUUUUGCCUCAGGUGGCAAAACGAGACUUGCAAUCUAAGCAUUAAGAGGAAGUGUGGAAAAUGGGAAAACUGAACCCACACUCUAUGCCCCCAAGCCAGUGGAGACUAGUCCAUUACGGCAAGCAGGGCAAUGCCCUACCAACGUCCAUCAGCCCCUGCCUGCCAUCUAAAUUGCAACCAGUUCAGGGGCUGGCACUGGCUGCCCAAUUCCUCUUCCUUAGACUGAGCGCAGCUACUGUGGAACUUAGCUGGGGGUCAAACUAGAAUUAGUUAGCUCUGUCUGUCAUUGGCUCCACCUGCUGUUUGGUCUCUGUGUCUUCCGUCCUACCAGCCAUCACUGCCCCAGCAUAAGAAAAGGUUCCUACAUGUGCACAGCUGCACAUGUGUAGGGGCCCUUUUCUCAUGUUCAGCAGAACAUGCGUAAAUGGGUAGCAGGGGAAAGACCUGCUCCACACUUCAAUGAAUGCAUGGCGCAGAAAAGUGUAAAAGAUUUGUAAAUACAAGGGAGAGAGCUUCUCUUUCCUCUUCUUGAGCGAAGGCACUUUUACUAACACACACACACACACACACACACACACACACACACACACGGAAAGCAUUCCUUAAGGUUAUAGAAUUAACCAUUAAACCCUUAACUAUGGCUGUGUAUAAUCUCCACAUAAUAACAACAUAAAAUAAUUCUGAAUUGUGUUAACCCAGCAUGCUGAUUUUACGUGUGGGGCGACAGCUUUAUGUGGAUUGCAGAAAAUUAAACACAAAAAAAGGGGGAGAGCAAGAACCUCAUCCUGCUGGAAGGGCUAUCCAAGAUCUUGCGAGAUCUUGUGGGAGCCCUUAUGCCACCAUCCCAGAUCCGGAAAAGCAAUGCGGCGGGCUUUUAAAGAUCUUUUUACACUGUGUUUUCCUGCUGCUGAAAUAGCUUUUUAAGCCCCCUGGCCUUUCUUACUGGGGUCAUGCGAGGUCUCUGGAGAGGCUCCUGUGACAUCUCUCAAGAUCCUUGCUGGGCCUUCCAGAAGCCCCACAUGACCUUCCCAGAGUCUGAUAAGCAAGGUGGGAGGCUUAAACAGCUCCCCACUUUGUGUGGGGGGCAAGGCCUGCUCAGCACCCUCUCAGGCAAG
Podarcis lilfordi (Lilford's wall lizard) is the source of this 10054-nucleotide non-coding RNA. The record is from the annotation of a GenBank genome assembly. NCBI's taxonomy places the organism in Eukaryota, Metazoa, Chordata, Lepidosauria, Squamata, Lacertidae.